Molecule: transfer RNA, 39 nt
Filed under: Isoetes yunguiensis
Lineage: Eukaryota; Viridiplantae; Streptophyta; Lycopodiopsida; Isoetales; Isoetaceae
Description: partial tRNA-Gly
Source: RNAcentral
GCGGGUAUGGUUUAAUGGUAAAAUUCCUCCUUGCCAAGG